ACCGUGAGGUUAACUGGGUCACAAGAGGUGGAGGGGUUACCACCAGAAGGCAAGGGGUACAGCUCAGUGGCAGGGUUCUUGCUUAGCACACAAGAGGCCCUGGGUUCCAGUCCUAGCCCUGAAAAAUGAAUAAAUAAAAAGCCAGGCUAAGUCAGUGAUGGAAGCAAACCCACUUAAUGACCGAUGGGGAUCACCUUGGUUGGGGGUAGAGCAUUGCCUGAGAGGUAAGAGGGAGGAGAAGGCAGAGCCUAGGAGCAGACUACAGCCAGGCAGAUUGGAAUUCCAUGUGGAGGAAAGCUAAGAACCAAGGCCACAUGGUACCUGGCAAAGGGGUACCUCGUUAUCCCCUUUCCUGUAGUUUCCUCAUAAGAACACAACAAGAACCACACGAAAUUCAGUCCGUCUGGUGGUCUUGGAUGGCCCCUCACCUAGGCACAGGGCUACAAAGGCAGAAAAAUGUAGCUCAAGCUGAGCCUGCAUUUGGCCAUGAUGACAGUGUCCCACUUCUAACACCCUGGCAAUGUGUAACAAGAUGUUCCAAGGAACUCAUGAACCUUGUCAUCAAGAAUCACAGAGCUUGCCGGGCAUGGUGGCACAUGCCUUUAAUCCCAGCACUCGGAAGGCAGAGGCAGGCGGAU
Molecule: long non-coding RNA, 638 nt
Filed under: Mus musculus (house mouse)
Lineage: Eukaryota; Metazoa; Chordata; Mammalia; Rodentia; Muridae
Description: predicted gene 45510
Source: RNAcentral